UGGUGUUUCUACAGUAGGAUAAAAUGAUG
RNAcentral lists this non-coding RNA (29 nucleotides) under Homo sapiens (human). The record is from RNAcentral. Lineage: Eukaryota; Metazoa; Chordata; Mammalia; Primates; Hominidae.